ACAACUUUCAACAACGGAUCUCUUGGCUCUCGCAUCGAUGAAGAACGCAGCGAAAUGCGAUAAGUAAUGUGAAUUGCAGAAUUCAGUGAAUCAUCGAAUCUUUGAACGCACCUNGCACCCUUUGGUAUGCCAAAGGGUACACCCGUUUGAGUGUCAUUG
RNAcentral lists this ribosomal RNA (159 nucleotides) under uncultured Sebacinales. RNAcentral describes it as "23S ribosomal RNA". It matches the Rfam family "5.8S ribosomal RNA". Rfam says of the family: 5.8S ribosomal RNA (5.8S rRNA) is a component of the large subunit of the eukaryotic ribosome. It is transcribed by RNA polymerase I as part of the 45S precursor that also contains 18S and 28S rRNA. The record is from RNAcentral. Lineage: Eukaryota; Fungi; Basidiomycota; Agaricomycetes; Sebacinales.